UCCUCCGUGGCGCAAUUGGCUAGCGCGUCUGACUGUUAAGAUUGCUGUUACAGGCGUUUCAAUGGUAUCAGGAGGUUGACAGUUCAAGCCUGUCCGGGGGAG
Molecule: non-coding RNA, 102 nt
Organism: Saccharata proteae CBS 121410
Lineage: Eukaryota; Fungi; Ascomycota; Dothideomycetes; Botryosphaeriales; Saccharataceae
Source: the annotation of a GenBank genome assembly